Colius striatus (speckled mousebird) is the source of this 885-nucleotide long non-coding RNA. RefSeq lists it as uncharacterized. Lineage: Eukaryota; Metazoa; Chordata; Aves; Coliiformes; Coliidae. The transcript is spliced from 3 exons. The record is from RefSeq and is a predicted model, not a curated record.
CAAUCACACACCACAACGCAACGCACUCGUACUCCUUCCUCACACGUUAACAGUUUAACCUCUCAGCAAAACGAGCUUCCCAGUGACCUGGAGAAGCCAAAAAAAGGAACCAAGUUUAAACUGAUGAGGACCAGGAUCCAAAGGCCAUCACUGUCCACGGGAACCCUUCAGCUGAGCAGCUGGAGCAGCAAGAUGUUGUACGUCUCCUCGUGUUUCUGAGCUGCAGCUAUUGCAAGAGCACAUAAAGUUUAAUAAGCAUCACUCAGUUGGCAGGGCAGAUGCAUCUCCUUCUUCAGAACCUCAUUACUUUGUACUCAGAACGCUGACACGUGAAGCUGCUGCCAAAAGCCAACAGUGAGAACACCAAGAGAACAGCGAGCGACUCCUCUGAGCCUCCUCCUCCCAUCGGAUGUGGAACACAUAGAGACUUACACAAGGCCUUUCAACGGUAUGUGUGCUGUACACGUAACAAAGGCUUGUGAAAACUCCUGGAGGAUGCUCCACUGUGCUAUAGCAGGAAAUACCCGAGAAGGCAGCGGGGAGGCAGCGUUCCCAGCCCGGAUGCUCGGCUGGAAGCCGCAGGAUCAGGUCUGGCAUCUCCAUUCUCAGUUCUGGCACUCCAGUGGAUGCACACAUUUACAACUGGCCCAUUCCAAUCAGCUCGUGGUGCUGAGCAGCUGCCUUUCAGGCAGGGAGUGAGGCUGUUUCAAAACGUGGCCACGUUAUCCGCACGCUUCUAACGCUGCUGGAGACGUGCAUCGGUUUGGGCUGUGCCAGAAAGGAGGGGAACUGCUUUCCUCAUGGUUAACAUCAAGACUCAAGGGUGGUGGGAAACACCACCAGUGAGCUUUGCUAACUGGUCCAGAAAGUAGAAGAAACCGUAGU